RNAcentral lists this ribosomal RNA (497 nucleotides) under uncultured bacterium. RNAcentral describes it as "partial 16S ribosomal RNA". It matches the Rfam family "Bacterial small subunit ribosomal RNA", at positions 28 to 507 of the family's 1533-position model. The record is from RNAcentral.
GAUGAACGCUGGCGGCGUGCCUAAUACAUGCAAGUCGAGCGAACGGACGAGAAGCUUGCUUUUCUGAUGUUAGCGGCGGACGGGUGAGUAACACGUGGAUAACCUACCUAUAAGACUGGGAUAACUUCGGGAAACCGGAGCUAAUACCGGAUAAUAUUUUGAACCGCAUGGUUCAAAAGUGAAAGACGGUCUUGCUGUCACUUAUAGAUGGAUCCGCGCUGCAUUAGCUAGUUGGUAAGGUAACGGCUUACCAAGGCAACGAUGCAUAGCCGACCUGAGAGGGUGAUCGGCCACACUGGAACUGAGACACGGUCCAGACUCCUACGGGAGGCAGCAGUAGGGAAUCUUCCGCAAUGGGCGAAAGCCUGACGGAGCAACGCCGCGUGAGUGAUGAAGGUCUUCGGAUCGUAAAAUUCUGUUAUUAGGGAAGAACAUAUGUGUAAGUAACUGUGCACAUCUUGACGGUACCUAAUCAGAAAGCCACGGCUAACUACGUG